UACGGGGGGAGCAAGCGUUGUUCGGAUUUACUGGGCGUAAAGGGCGCGUAGGCGGCGUGACAAGUCACUUGUGAAAUCUCCGGGCUUAACCCGGAGCGGUCAAGUGAUACUGUCGUGCUAGAGUGCGGAAGGGGCUACUGGAAUUCUCGGUGUAGCGGUGAAAUGCGUAGGUAUCGAGAGGAACACCUGCGGCGAAGGCGGGUAGCUGGGCCGACACUGACGCUGAUGCGCGAAAGCCAGGGGAGCGAACGGG
RNAcentral lists this ribosomal RNA (253 nucleotides) under uncultured bacterium. Its description in RNAcentral is "partial 16S ribosomal RNA". It matches the Rfam family "Bacterial small subunit ribosomal RNA", at positions 524 to 776 of the family's 1533-position model. The record is from RNAcentral.